UACGGAAGGCAGCAGUGGGGAAUAUUGCACAAUGGGCGAAAGCCUGAUGCAGCUAUGCCGCGUGUAUGAAGAAGGCCUUAGGGUUGUAAAGUACUUUCAUCGGGGAGGAAAACAAAACUAAUAAUUUUAUUUCUUGACGUUACCCGAAAAAGAAGCACCGGCUAACUCCGUGCCAGCAGCCGCGGUAAUACGGAGGGUGCUAGCGUUAAUCAGAAUUACUGGGCGUAAAGAGCACGUAGGUGGUUUUUUUAAGUCAGAUGUGAAAUCCCUGGGCUUAACCUAGGAACUGCAUUUUGAAACUGAAAUACUAGAGUAUCGUAGAGGGAGGUAGAAUUCUAGGUGUAGCGGUGAAAUGCGUAGAUAUCUGGAGGAAUACCUGUGGCGAAAGCGGCCUCCUAAACGAAUACUGACACUGAGGUGCGAAAGCGUGGGGAGCAAACGAGGAUUAGAUACC
Molecule: ribosomal RNA, 454 nt
Filed under: uncultured bacterium
Lineage: Bacteria
Description: bacterial SSU rRNA
Rfam family: Bacterial small subunit ribosomal RNA
Source: RNAcentral